AGUGAACGCUGGCGGUAGGCCUAACACAUGCAAGUCGAACGGCAGCACAGUAAGAGCUUGCUCUUACGGGUGGCGAGUGGCGGACGGGUGAGGAAUACAUCGGAAUCUACUUUUUCGUGGGGGAUAACGUAGGGAAACUUACGCUAAUACCGCAUACGACCUACGGGUGAAAGCAGGGGAUCUUCGGACCUUGCGCGAUUCAAUGAGCCGAUGUCGGAUUAGCUAGUUGGCGGGGUAAAGGCCCACCAAGGCGACGAUCCGUAGCUGGUCUGAGAGGAUGAUCAGCCACACUGGAACUGAGACACGGUCCAGACUCCUACGGGAGGCAGCAGUGGGGAAUAUUGGACAAUGGGCGCAAGCCUGAUCCAGCCAUGCCGCGUGGGUGAAGAAGGCCUUCGGGUUGUAAAGCCCUUUUGUUGGGAAAGAAAAGCAGCAGGUUAAUACCCCGCUGUUCUGACGGUACCCAAAGAAUAAGCACCGGCUAACUUCGUG
Molecule: ribosomal RNA, 492 nt
Filed under: uncultured bacterium
Lineage: Bacteria
Description: partial 16S ribosomal RNA
Rfam family: Bacterial small subunit ribosomal RNA
Source: RNAcentral